GUUCAGCUACCUGUGUUUGCCUUUGAGGUCCCAAAAUUUCAGUUUCGGUCUUUGAAAUGGAAAUUUGACCUCUUUAUUUUCCCAGCUUCUAUUUAAAUGCAGAGUUACUGGUGCUGUGUGUGGGUGUAUGUCUGCAGCUCUCCGCUCUCAUCCCUCACCGUAACCCACCCGUGCAAUAGACCUGCUCCUUGAUGGAAGGGAGGACACACAUCUAUCAGAUUGCUGUAGCAGUGAAUGCAAAAUGUAUGAAACAACAUUAAAAAAUGAACAAUGGAAUGCCAAUACAUAAUGCAUGUACACAGACUUUAUUUAAGACAAAGUAUAUCAGCCAAUAAAGUUAAUUGUUUUUGUCUGCAUUCA
Non-coding RNA from Anas platyrhynchos (mallard), 360 nucleotides. The record is from RefSeq and is a predicted model, not a curated record. NCBI's taxonomy places the organism in Eukaryota, Metazoa, Chordata, Aves, Anseriformes, Anatidae.